Molecule: ribosomal RNA, 524 nt
Filed under: uncultured bacterium
Lineage: Bacteria
Description: bacterial SSU rRNA
Rfam family: Bacterial small subunit ribosomal RNA
Source: RNAcentral
AGUUGAUUAUGGCUCAGAUUGAACGCUGGCGGCGUGCUUAACACAUGCAAGUCGCGCGUGAAAGGACUUCGGUCCGAGUAAAGCGGCGCACGGGUGAGUAACGCGUGGAUGAUCUACCCAUGAGUUAGGAAUAACGGCUGGAAACGGUCGCUAAUACCAAAUACGCUCCGAUUUCAACUUCGGGGGAAAGGUGGCCUCUGCUUGCAAGCUACUGCUCAUGGAUGAGUCCGCGUCCCAUUAGCUAGUUGGUGGGGUAACGGCCCACCAAGGCGACGAUGGGUAGCCGGUCUGAGAGGAUGACCGGCCACACUGGGACUGGAACACGGCCCAGACUCCUACGGGAGGCAGCAGUGGGGAAUAUUGCGCAAUGGGCGAAAGCCUGACGCAGCGACGCCGCGUGAGGGGAAUGAAGGUCCUCGGAUCGUAAACCUCUGUCAGGAGGGAAGAACCGCCACGGUGCUAAUCAGCCGUGGUCUGACGGUACCUCCAAAGGAAGCACCGGCUAACUCCGUGCCAGCCGCCGC